This 330-nucleotide unclassified non-coding RNA is filed under the name soil metagenome. Its description in RNAcentral is "partial contains 5.8S ribosomal RNA, internal transcribed spacer 2, and large subunit ribosomal RNA". The stretch from base 1 to 120 matches the Rfam family "5.8S ribosomal RNA", at positions 35 to 154 of the family's 154-position model. The record is from RNAcentral.
GAUGAAGAACGCAGCGAAAUGCGAUAAGUAAUGUGAAUUGCAGAAUUCAGUGAAUCAUCGAAUCUUUGAACGCACAUUGCGCCCCCUGGUAUUCCGGGGGGCAUGCCUGUUCGAGCGUCAUUUCACCACUCAAGCCUCGCUUGGUAUUGGGCAACGCGGUCCGCCGCGUGCCUCAAAUCGACCGGCUGGGUCUUCUGUCCCCUAAGCGUUGUGGAAACUAUUCGCUAAAGGGUGCUCGGGAGGCUACGCCGUAAAACAAACCCAUUUCUAAGGUUGACCUCGGAUCAGGUAGGGAUACCCGCUGAACUUAAGCAUAUCAAUAAGCGGGGA